This 246-nucleotide ribosomal RNA is filed under the name uncultured bacterium. Its description in RNAcentral is "partial 16S ribosomal RNA". It matches the Rfam family "Bacterial small subunit ribosomal RNA", at positions 523 to 769 of the family's 1533-position model. The record is from RNAcentral.
AUACGUAGGUGGCAAGCGUUGUCCGGAAUUACUGGGUGUAAAGGGAGCGUAGGCGGGAAGGCAAGUUGAAUGUUUAAACUAUCGGCUCAACCGAUAAUCGCGUUCAAAACUGUUUUUCUUGAGUGAAGUAGAGGUAGGCGGAAUUCCUAGUGUAGCGGUGAAAUGCGUAGAUAUUAGGAGGAACACCAGUGGCGAAGGCGGUCUACUGGGCUUUAACUGACGCUGAGGCGCGAAAGCGUGGGGAGC